UAGCCAUAUCACGCUGAACCACCGGUUCUCGUACGAUCACCGAAGUUAAGCAAUGUCAGGCCUGGUCAGUACCUAGAUGGGUGACCACUUAGGAAUACUAGAUGC
This 105-nucleotide ribosomal RNA is filed under the name Acanthosepion pharaonis. The record is from RNAcentral. Lineage: Eukaryota; Metazoa; Mollusca; Cephalopoda; Sepiida; Sepiidae.